Long non-coding RNA from Arachis stenosperma, 1663 nucleotides. RefSeq lists it as uncharacterized. NCBI's taxonomy places the organism in Eukaryota, Viridiplantae, Streptophyta, Magnoliopsida, Fabales, Fabaceae. The record is from RefSeq and is a predicted model, not a curated record. The transcript is spliced from 11 exons.
CAGAAUUAUAGAACUUACUAUUGAAUAUAUUGUUCACUCCUUCCCUCCAAAUUUAUAUAUAUGCAAGGAAGGUCCAUGAUUUAUAAUUCUUCAAUCUUCAUUAAUUAAUAAGCUCUCAUGUAUUAUUGCUGAAGAUCAGGUUCGCCGCAAAAGGCGUCCGGUUCAAAUGAUUUUGCAGAUUCAUCACUGUAAACUCCAGUUCGCACUUCUUCAUCAUAUCUAUCUUCUCUAUUUCGAACGGUGUUCAUCAUGCCAAAGAAGGUACAUUCAGAGAAGAAGAAAGCUAGCGCCUUCUGCGAAAUGCAGGCCAAGGUUGAGAAAGAGAUGGACGGUGGUUAAGGUUGUUGAAGAUAGAAACCUGACUCUUACCCUUCAAGGGAAAAACUGAGACAGUUAAUUUCUUUUUCAAUUGUGCUUUUGAUUUGGAAGGUGUUCAAUACUUGAUAACUUUUCAGACGUUAUAGAUAGAAUUGAAGGCACAAUUUUGAAACAGUAUUCUAGACUCACAGAAAUUCCAAAGCAAUGAUGCACUCAAUAAUGUGCAGGAUCUUGACAUUAUGAUCUUCUCCCUUUGGGAACAGGUUGCUGUUGCCUGUAUGAAGGUAUGGAAUAUACACAGGUAUGAAAGAUGUAUCUAAAUUUUUUUAACUCCAUGAAAUUAAAUGAAUUUAUUUGGAUGCAAGAGCUGCAGAUGUUGAAUGAGAAAUGCAAUCUGGAGAGGCAAUUCUCUGAGCUAAGAAAUGGCAAAUGCAGAGUGGGCAAAUUGAGCGGAAUGGUUGAAGGUGGCAAAUUGAGCAGAGUUGAAGGGCACAAAAUCAGUGUCUCUAAGGGAGCAUAGCUGAAAGGGGAGGUUGAGAGAAUGAAUGCUAAGCCAAGGAUGGAGAAACUAGAGCUGAUUUACUCUCCGAGGCAAGCGUUGAGUAUGAGACCAAGGAAUCUUCAUCUCUUAGAAACAUAUCAGUGGUGAUUUGUUACAAAUGAAUGUGCCUUCAAGAAUUAGCAGGGAGUAUAAGUGGAGGAGAGAGUGUUCCAGCACCAAAAGCAUCUCCUGAAGCUUGGCAAGGAUUGUUAUGAUGUUCUUAGAGGAGAAUAAGAAUACUGCUGCUUUGACAACUAAAGCUAAGGUCAGGAAGGUUGUCAGUUUUGAAAAGGACUGAAAAAUUCUUGAGGAAAGAGGUUUUAUAAUGUUAGCUUUGCUUAGCCAUGAUUGCAGUGCUCAAAGGAGGCACCAACAGGUACUACUAAAAAGUAUUAUAGCCCAAAAGUUUUUAAAAGUUCAGAAGCUCUUGGAUUAAACAAACUCAUAUUUGCCAAUGAGCCAUAAUUCACACAGCAUUCCGCCCCUUUCCUAUCCCAAAGGUCUUGGGUUCGAGUCCUACCAGCUGCAACCGAGAAGAAAAAAUUGGUAAGUAUGUGAGAAGUGUGUGAGUGUAUAUUGUGUACCGAGAAUUGGGAGUUGUCCAAUCCACUGACAAAAAAAAAAAAAACUCAUUUAAAUUACUAUUGACAAGGAAAAACCAUUGGUCUUAACUUGUGUUGCACAUGUAAUAUCACAUAUAGUUCCCCUAAAUGGCUCAUGAACUAGUAGAGGAUGAAGGAGUUUUUUUUAGAAGAUUCCAAAUAUGCUACCAGUUUAUAAAAGCUACAGAAAAAAAAAAAGCAA